RNAcentral lists this transfer RNA (75 nucleotides) under Methanobrevibacter millerae. RNAcentral's name for it is "tRNA_Met_CAT". It matches the Rfam family "tRNA". Rfam says of the family: Transfer RNA (tRNA) molecules are approximately 80 nucleotides in length. Their secondary structure includes four short double-helical elements and three loops (D, anti-codon, and T loops). Lineage: Archaea; Methanobacteriati; Methanobacteriota; Methanobacteria; Methanobacteriales; Methanobacteriaceae. The record is from RNAcentral.
AACGGGAUGGUGUAGUCUGGAAAACACGCGAGGCUCAUAACCUCGUAAUCAUCGGUUCAAAUCCGAUUCCCGUUA